This 409-nucleotide ribosomal RNA is filed under the name uncultured bacterium. RNAcentral describes it as "bacterial SSU rRNA". It matches the Rfam family "Bacterial small subunit ribosomal RNA", at positions 314 to 738 of the family's 1533-position model. The record is from RNAcentral.
GGGGACUGAGACACGGCCCUUACUCCUACGGGAGGCAGCAGUGGGGAAUAUUGGACAAUGGACCAAAGUCUGAUCCAGCGAUUCUGUGUGCACGAUGACGGUCUUAGGAUUGUAAAGUGCUUUCAAUCGGGAAAAAGAAAGUGAUGGUACCGAUAGAAGAAGCGACGGCUAAAUACGUGCCAGCAGCCGCGGUAAUACGUAUGUCGCAAGCGUUAUCCGGAUUUAUUGGGCGUAAAGCGCGUCUAGGCGGUUUGGUAAGUCUGAUGUGGAAAUGCGGGGCUCAACUCCGUAUUGCGUUGGAAACUGCCAGACUAGAGUACUGGAGAGGUGGGCGGAACUACAAGUGUAGAGGUGAAAUUCGUAGAUAUUUGUAGGAAUGCCGAUAGAGAAGUCAGCUCACUGGACAGAU